GCGCUUCGUUCUUUCGGGGACUGUGACGCUGGAAAGUUGAGGUUCUGGCCGGGCCGAGGCGUCGGAUCUCCCUGUCCUCCCCUUCGACCUCUCCCCACAGCUCAAUAAAAUAAUUUGAUGUCAGCGCCGGCGUUGGGUGUUCUUGUCGAGACGCGCUGCCUUUGAGCCCCCGCUGCGCCUGCGCGUGGCGCCGGGGGUCAGGCUGCAGCGCCAGAGUACUGCGCUUGCGCAUAACUGGGGCCGCCUGGUUUCCCCGCCGGCGGCCCUUUUAACCGCGAGCUACAGAGCGG
Lontra canadensis (Northern American river otter) is the source of this 290-nucleotide long non-coding RNA. RefSeq lists it as uncharacterized. NCBI's taxonomy places the organism in Eukaryota, Metazoa, Chordata, Mammalia, Carnivora, Mustelidae. The transcript is spliced from 2 exons. The record is from RefSeq and is a predicted model, not a curated record.